GACCACUCAUUACCUUAGCUCUCUCUCUUCCUCCUCCCUCUCUCAAAAUGCUCUGACCUCUCUUUAAAUCACUCCCUUCUCCUGUCCUUCUCCGUCGUCGCUCCUCCUUUAUGUUUUUCCCUUCUUCCUCCCUUUUCUCUUCUUUCUCUCUUUUUUCAUUCCUUUUUUCUCUUUUUCCUCUUUUCUUCUUCUUCUUGCUGCCCCUCCGGCAACUACAGUGGCGUCGUCGUUGCUCCUCCCCAUUCUUUUCUCUUCUUUUACUUUCUUUGAUUCUUCUUUUUUUUCUCUUUUCCCUCUCCUCAUCUCCUCUCUAUUCCCUCGCUUCUCACAGCGACGGCUACGGCGCCGUCCCCGCCUUCACUCUCUACUUCUUUCCUCACAGCGACAGCGGCGGAAAGCCGUCGCCUCCCUCACCGGCAACGAAAAAGAGGAAAAGGUAGAAAAUUAGAUCUACAGCCUCAUCCCUUCUAUGUUCCCGAUUUUAACCAGAUCCGGGUUUGCAUGUCGUCGGGGGACGCCUUCGUCUAGAGUCCCUCAAUGACAUGCAAGCCCCGAUCUAGAUCUAAGGUUUUAUUUUUGAUUUAAAUAGUUUUUUCUGACUUUUGUUGUCAUAUUUUAUUUCUUUGGGUGCUGGGAAUCGGUGGAGAGGGAAGGGGAGACGGUGACCCCACCGCCGACGACGCGGCCAUCGGCCGGAGAGGAGACAGACGGCGAGAGGAAGAGCAAGGGUAAAACUCGGUUCUGUCUUCUUAUUUAAUUUCUUUCAAUAAAAGAGAGGAAAGAGAUUGAUUUUCUAGUCUUAUUUCAGGUAAUGAAAUUAGCCGCUGACUUGCUCGGGAAAUUAAGGCUAGGAACAAGGACGAAAAAACGGAGCUCGACGAAGGUAAACUCAGAACUGAAAAUUAUUCCGAUUCUUAUAAGUACAAAGAAAGAAAGAAAGAAAGAAGGCUAUAUCACCCUUUUUAGGUUGUCAAUACGCUAUAAAGAGAUGACAACUUGACUUUUUUAAUCAAGGAUAAGUCUAGCAACUUUGAUAGAAGGACGAUAACUCACUCGUUUGAAAAAUUUGAUUAUUUUAACCUUUUUUAAUAAAAUUGCAGCAACCUUUUUUAACAAAGAACUUAUGUAUUGCUGGAUGUUGAUGCUAUGUUUAAGUCUGUGUAUGGUUUUUGAGUCCUUGAUGUAAAUGGUGUUAAGAUAGGUGAUAGUUGAUCAUUUUUAUGUCUUUAUAUCAUGCUUUUAGCAAUCUAUCUUAAGUGAAGAAAUUUCAAUUUCUUUGUGAAUUUUCGUUUGCUUAAGUGACUUAUUUUGNNNNNNNNNNNNNNNNNNNNNNNNNNNNNNNNNNNNNNNNNNNNNNNNNNNNNNNNNNNNNNNNNNNNNNNNNNNNNNNNNNNNNNNNNNNNNNNNNNNNNNNNNNNNNNNNNNGAUGUCUAUUUUACAGAUGAACUCAUUGUUAUGAUUACUUAGACUAGUCUUUAUGGCAUUUGGUCACGGGGUUAUUAGUUUUAAUAUCAUUCUUCAAGUAAUGAUAUAAAAGGUUUCUUGACUUAAUAUCUUAACCAUGUGAAAGGAAAAAUAAAUGAAUGGUAUGAGAAUGAAUGAAAUAAGAUGUUUUUGAACAACAUACCAUUAAUACGAGGCUUUUCUUGUUUUCAGGUGAUUAUGAUGUCUCCUCGUUUCUUAUAUUUCGGGACUUCCUAACUUCCUUAUUUGUGGUUUUAUAGGUAUUCUUUUAGGGUCUAGUGUGAUGGUGACACAAUUUCAAAAUUUUUGGGAGUUGGGGAUUGGAUUCUAAUGUAUAGGAAACCACUUAGGUACUCUAUUGUUGAUUUAUAGUACUUGUGAUCGUCCUCCGUUUAUGUGGGAAAACUUAUGUCAAUUUAUAAUGAAAAAUGGUUGCUACCUCUCUUGCUCACCAAUCUAAUUUGAAUUCCAAACACUUACAUAAAAGGGAGGUGGCUGCCUCGUAGAGAAUAAUAGAAACAUGCCUGAAAUCGGGCCUGAAAUUGGCCCUAAAAUAAAAAAAUUGGGCUGAAAUAUGCAUAACGUUGCAAUAGUUUGUUGAUUGGUUUAGCUCACUCAAAUUCGAGAUAGUAGACAUGGGCCUGGUUUGAUUUGACUAUUCUACAUUAAACGUUAGAAGCAAAAUCUCAAACAUAUCACCAAAUUACCCGCAUCUCCAUAACACGAAGCGUAGCUAGUCUGAACAAAUAAUUGUGGCUUUCGAUCAAUUUAGAUGAACACGAGCUAGGAAUUUCUAAAUAAGAUUGAGUCGAAUAUUAUGUCAUUGGAAGCGCUAGGUGUCGUUUGGUGGUAAGAGGUUGAUACGAACUCUACAACCCGAACAAAAUUUGGUUACUACACUAACACACUCCUUGAUCCAUCUACACCACCAGUUUGAGAAUCCGUAUGCACUAAAAAGUGAUAAGAGGCAAUCCCAUUCCAUGAGAUCAUAUGCCUUCCUCAUGUCGAGCUUCAUCAUCAUGUUGACCUUCCUUCCCAUCUUUCUGAUCUUAAAUUUAUGGGGUCUAAAACCAUUUCGUAGCCAGAUUUAUCUCGACUUUGUCAAAUCUAACCAAAAAAGCUGAAAUACCAUUUUGGCCAUUAUUUUUGGGCCGUCUGUCUUAUUUAACCCGUUGGCCAAAUUUAUUGUUAAUUUUUUUACUUCGUUACAGACGAGACAGACGAAACUGACGUGUCAUCCGUUUGAUCGGUUAAAUCGAUGCCAUAUCACAUACCACAUUGUGAAACUAAUGCCACAUCAGCAUUAUAAUUAU
RNAcentral lists this long non-coding RNA (2777 nucleotides) under Linum usitatissimum (flax). RNAcentral's name for it is "long non-coding RNA (LUSI_LNC003690)". Lineage: Eukaryota; Viridiplantae; Streptophyta; Magnoliopsida; Malpighiales; Linaceae. The record is from RNAcentral.